Molecule: long non-coding RNA, 260 nt
Organism: Centruroides sculpturatus (bark scorpion)
Lineage: Eukaryota; Metazoa; Arthropoda; Arachnida; Scorpiones; Buthidae
Exons: 2
Source: RefSeq, a predicted model, not a curated record
AAAGUUACUAUAUGAAUUUAUAUUUCAGGUAUGGUGUAAGAAAUAGUUUGCUCGUUUCACCAAUGCCCACUGCUUCUACUGCACAAAUUCUUGGUAAUAAUGAAUCGAUAGAACCUUACACAAGUAAUAUUUAUGUAAGAAGAGUUUUAUCGGGGGAAUUUCAGGUUGUGAAUCAUCAUUUAAUGAAUGAUCUAACUAAUUUGGGUAUAUGGAAUGAAGAUUUAAAGAAUAAAAUAAUUGCUUGUAAUGGUUCUAUUCAG